GUCGCCCACAGGCCUGGUCUAAAAAUAGCACAACUCACUAGUGAGCUACGUCUGAAAUGUAAUUGUAUUCUGUUGCUAUUCUUUUUAAUUACACUUGCAUUUAUAUAUAUUUAAAAAUGACAAUAUCUUAAAAAUAUUUUCAUUAUACAUGAGUUUAGAUAAGUUCAGGUGAACUCUGACCUACUCUAGUUCAAAGGUCAGUAUUGUGCGCGUGAAAAAAACAGUGCUCGUGGAGAGUAAGCUAGCGGGCGCAGCGAAGAAAACAAAAGUGAUCGGCUUUGAGCACGUGAUGACUCCGUUGUAAAAAUCAUAAACAACAUCCGCUCCAAAGCAAAACAGCACAGGAUUUUCAAGGUGCUAUUUGAGGAGAUGUUAGCUGAAUAUGGUGACCUGCUGCUACACAGAGAAAUCCGAUGGCUCAGCAGAGGGCGAGUUUUUUGUCACUUUUGGGUGAAAUCAAAGAGUUCAAGCAGUCCAAAGGCAAAGACGUCUCACUGCUAGAGGACAGAGUGGACACUUGACCUUGCAUUUUUGACGGACAUUACUGGGAAACUAAACGACUUGAACUGCAAGCUGCAAGGCAAGACUAAAAAAAGGUGCUGCACUUUCCCUGUGUGCAGUCGGUGCUGAAAGACAAUGCUUCUGCAUCUGAGACAUUUGACAAAGUUGCAGAAAAGUACUGUGAAGUCAUAAACAGACUUGGGCAAGAGUUUGAGAAUAGGUUUUGUGACCUUCAUCAGCUUGAGCCAUGUGUGUCGUUCAUUUCCAAUCCUUUCAUGAAUGUGGACACAACAUUCUUUGCUGAGCAACUAAGUGCAACGUUCAACUUGGAUGCUGGACAGGUGGAGAUUGAAAUCAUAACAUUGCAAAAUGACCUCCACCUCAAAGUCUACCAGGCUGCACCAAACUUUUGGUGCCUUGUUGACACAGAGAAGUACAGUGGAGUAUGCACAGCAGCUAUGAAGGUUGCUAGCCUGUUUGGUUCAACCCAUCUCUGUGAAUCAGCGUUUUCUGACAUGAACUUCAUCAAGAACAAACACAGAACACGCCUCACUGAUGCACAUCUGAAAGACUCACUCACAAUUGCAGUGUCAAGUUACACACCAGAUUACAAUACACUGGUGAACAGCAUGCAAUGCCAGUCUUCCCACUAACAAAGAAACAGAUACCAGAUGUCAGUGGCAACAUGGCAGUGCCAUGGCGAAGUUGAAGUAAAAUAUUGAAGAAUUUUGUUCAAUUUAAAAGUGUGUUAAAAAAUGCAGCAGAUUUGGUCAAUAGUUCAAAAUGUGACAAGAUUUAUUUAAAAAUAAGUUGAUUUUUCUAACAUUACAUAAUUGAUAACUUUUUGAGACAGUUCAUGAUUUGUUACAAGGGUUUGUCAGUGGCUAGUGAAAAUGGGACAUUUUUCCUAUGAAAUGUAGUGAUGUAAGUGAUCAUCUGAAAAUGUAACAAUUACUGAGAUUAAAG
RNAcentral lists this long non-coding RNA (1467 nucleotides) under Salmo salar (Atlantic salmon). RNAcentral describes it as "lncRNA (ENSSSAG00000101652.1)". Lineage: Eukaryota; Metazoa; Chordata; Actinopteri; Salmoniformes; Salmonidae. The record is from RNAcentral.